AGAACGAACGCUGGCGGCAUGCCUAACACAUGCAAGUCGAACGAGACCUUCGGGUCUAGUGGCGCACGGGUGCGUAACGCGUGGGAAUCUGCCCUUGGGUUCGGGAUAACAGUUGGAAACGACUGCUAAUACCGGAUGAUGUCUUCGGACCAAAGAUUUAUCGCCCAGGGAUGAGCCCGCGUAAGAUUAGCUAGUUGGUGGGGUAAAGGCCUACCAAGGCGACGAUCUUUAGCUGGUCUGAGAGGAUGAUCAGCCACACUGGGACUGAGACACGGCCCAGACUCCUACGGGAGGCAGCAGUGGGGAAUAGUUGGACAAUGGGCGAAAGCCUGAUCCAGCAAUGCCGCGUGAGUGAUGAAGGCCUUAGGUUGUAAAGCUCUUUACCCGGGAUGAUAAUGACAGUACCGGAGAAUAAGCCCGGCUAACUCCGUGCCAGCAGCCGC
This 443-nucleotide ribosomal RNA is filed under the name uncultured soil bacterium. Its description in RNAcentral is "bacterial SSU rRNA". It matches the Rfam family "Bacterial small subunit ribosomal RNA", at positions 26 to 518 of the family's 1533-position model. The record is from RNAcentral.